UACGAAGGGGGCUAGCGUUGCUCGGAAUUACUGGGCGUAAAGGGAGCGUAGGCGGCUAGUUUAGUCAGAGGUGAAAGCCCAGGGCUCAACCCUGGAAUUGCCUUUGAUACUGGCUAUCUUGAGUGUGGGAGAGGUUAGCGGAACUCCGAGUGUAGAGGUGAAAUUCGUGGAUAUUCGGAAGAACACCAGUGGCGAAGGCGGCUAACUGGCCCAUUACUGACGCUGAGGCUCGAAAGCGUGGGGAGCAAACAGG
Molecule: ribosomal RNA, 253 nt
Filed under: uncultured bacterium
Lineage: Bacteria
Description: partial 16S ribosomal RNA
Rfam family: Bacterial small subunit ribosomal RNA
Source: RNAcentral